Sapajus apella (tufted capuchin) is the source of this 382-nucleotide long non-coding RNA. RefSeq lists it as uncharacterized. The transcript is spliced from 3 exons. The record is from RefSeq and is a predicted model, not a curated record. Lineage: Eukaryota; Metazoa; Chordata; Mammalia; Primates; Cebidae.
AGAAUACAAUGAAAAUGGUGCCCCCUGCAGCAUGAAAUUAGCAAUAUCACAUCCACCUCUCAUGUAAUAAAUUUGGAAACUAAGACCCACAGAGAGAAAUCCUCUGCCCUGACAGAUCUGGAAGCCUAGCUUUGACAUAGGAAGGUAUUCUAGAAAUAAAGAAGAAAGCAAGUUUUGGUAAAGGAAAUAAGUAGGAUCUCUCAGGACUUAGUAUCAGGAACAAGAGAUGUAUUGGUUGGAGCCUGACAAUGUGUCAGGGCAGUGAAUUGAAACUGACCUGAGUCUCUGACAUCUUCGUAGAGCCACAUAGCAACCCUGGAUCUCCUCUCUCAGAACAUUUUUCCAUGUAGUAAAAAUAAACUUUUAUCUUAUUUACGCUACA